AGCCGACGCUCCCAGGAGGGCGCGCCCGGGCCAGCGCGACACAGUGACCACAGAACAGGGCACAAUUCAGGCGCCGCCUGGAAAUGUAGUAGCACUGGCAGCGGGCGCGGGGCGCUGGCGCGGGGGGGUUGAAAACCCCAAGUGCCAG
This 148-nucleotide non-coding RNA is filed under the name Aureococcus anophagefferens. The record is from RNAcentral. Lineage: Eukaryota; Pelagophyceae; Pelagomonadales; Pelagomonadaceae.